This 84-nucleotide transfer RNA is filed under the name Candidatus Eiseniibacteriota bacterium. RNAcentral's name for it is "tRNA-Leu". It matches the Rfam family "tRNA". Rfam says of the family: Transfer RNA (tRNA) molecules are approximately 80 nucleotides in length. Their secondary structure includes four short double-helical elements and three loops (D, anti-codon, and T loops). The record is from RNAcentral. Lineage: Bacteria; Candidatus Eiseniibacteriota.
GCGGAAGUGGCGGAAUUGGUAGACGCGCUAGGUUCAGGGUCUAGUGAGGGCAACCUCGUGGGGGUUCGAGUCCCCCCUUCCGCA